This 274-nucleotide ribosomal RNA is filed under the name Kontrimavichusia asymmetrica. Its description in RNAcentral is "Rodentolepis asymmetrica partial 18S ribosomal RNA". It matches the Rfam family "Eukaryotic small subunit ribosomal RNA", at positions 1505 to 1764 of the family's 1831-position model. The record is from RNAcentral. Lineage: Eukaryota; Metazoa; Platyhelminthes; Cestoda; Cyclophyllidea; Hymenolepididae.
GGCGGUGUCAACGAGUCAGAUCUUCUGGCCUGAGAAGGUUGGGUAAACUGGUCAAUCACCGUCAUGACAGGGAUCGGGGCUUGGAAUUGUUCCCCGUGAACGAGGAAUUCCUAGUAAGUGCAAGUCAUAAGCUUGCGCUGAUUACGUCCCUGCCCUUUGUACACACCGCCCGUCGCUACUACCGAUUGAAUGGUUUAGUAAGGUCCUUGGAUUGGCGCCAUUUAGGUGCCGCCGAAAGGUGCGUACCUAGCCGGUGCUGAGAAGACGACCAAAC